GCAGUGGCAGGAAUAGUGUCAUGUAUUUCAAGACUUCACCUUGCUUCAGCCAUAAUUUGCUAUGACUGUGAUGCAUUGCCCCACCAAAGAGAUUGUUCUCGGGUAACUGAGUGUGGUCCUGACGAGGAAUGUUAUGGUGAACGUGAGCAAACACCUGAUGGGUUGAUUAAA
This is a long non-coding RNA of Mytilus trossulus (common blue mussel), 171 nucleotides long. RefSeq lists it as uncharacterized. NCBI's taxonomy places the organism in Eukaryota, Metazoa, Mollusca, Bivalvia, Mytilida, Mytilidae. The transcript has 3 exons. The record is from RefSeq and is a predicted model, not a curated record.